This is a long non-coding RNA of Drosophila pseudoobscura, 2044 nucleotides long. RefSeq lists it as uncharacterized. The transcript has 2 exons. The record is from RefSeq and is a predicted model, not a curated record. NCBI's taxonomy places the organism in Eukaryota, Metazoa, Arthropoda, Insecta, Diptera, Drosophilidae.
UUACUAAACCAAAAAAAGAAACUGGAAAUUCAUUAAUAUGUUAAUUUUUUUUGUCUUGGCUCAUUGAUUGUGUCUGUGUGACUGUAUGUCUCUGGCUCUGUAUCUGUCGUCUGCCUCUGUGUGUGUCUGCCUGAAGUUGUUGCUUUUGCCGUUGGCUAAGCAGAUUUUGGGAUUUCAGGCAAUGUGAUUUUGUGAAUUGAACAUUCCCUAAGCCCCAGACAGAAAACAACAGAGGUGCUGGCCAUUUCCAGGUUUUAGUUCUCGGGUUUCGAUCACGCUCCGUCGAGGCGAUCAAAAGGCGCGCGCGCAGCUGAUUCCAACACAAAAUUUCUCGUACAGUGAAAGCUCGCUGAGGUGCACACACUCCGCUCACAGGAAGAUGCACGUCGAUUCUGCAGUCGUUUUGAAAUCUAUUCGCUCGAAAAAGCUUUCCCUGUAAGUCGUAUUUUCUUGGUGGUCUAACUUUUUCUUGUUUUUCGAAAUAUUUUCACAUUUGUUUCACUCUUUUUUUGUUUCAAACUUUACACAAAACACACAUACAAUUAAACACAUAUACCACCAAAGCGUUGAUAGGAAAGAAGAAGCAGUGCACCCAAUUUUGUGCUUCGGUGUUUCAGGUGCUGAUGUUGUUGUUGGUGUUGCUGUUUCCUCUGUUGCUUUUUGGGUCUUUGGUCUCACUGUUUGAUAUUCCAAUUCGAUUGGUUAGCGUUUGGGCGCCGCCAUUUACGCUGCUCGAGCGUGUUCUUUGCAUUUUCAAAAAACCGAAACAGCACUCGCACGCAUACAAAGACACACACUCGCUCUCACAGAAAAAAUAAUAAUAAUAAUAAUAAAUAAGAAUGAGAAACAGCGAGAAAGAAACAGCGAUUCGAGGGAACCAACCGAACGAGCGUACGUCGCGACGCGUCCGUCCCGAGCCGCUACAGAAACAAAAAUUAAUUACAUAUAUUGAAAUCACAAACUAAACUAAUCAGCCAGACCAGGCCGUAGCAGAGCAGAGCAGUGGCAGCGACAGAGAGGAGAGCAGAGAGCAGAGAGCGAGCGAAUCAGCUGCAUGAAAGCUAAAUACUAGUACAAGAAAAAGCUUGCUCAGCGCUUUCUCAAAGCGGGCGUGCGAAAGAGAGAGACAGAAAAAGGGAGAGAGAGAGAUGUCUGUCUGCGUUGUCAAGAAGACCUUGACUAAGGUUUCCGGCCGGGAAACCGUUACAUCGCUCAGAUUGAGUAUUACACUAUACAGCGGCAGCAUACAGAAGCAUUCCGAGAGAGAGCUUAUUUCGGUGUAAGCUUUUUGAGCAGCAGAGAGCAGAGUGACGCGACAGUUUGUCGCUUUUUAGUCUAUGAACUUGACGCUUGAUUUUUACACCAUGUACGCCUCCCCGCCACCCCAACCUAAUCCAUCACCACAAUCACCACACAACACAAACAACCGAAUUUAUAAACACAAACACACAAAAGCUUGCCGAGGAAAAGAGCAGCAGCAACAGCAACAGCAACUGCAAUAGGAAAAGCAUAAUUGCCGAACGCCAGAUUUUAAUAAGCUGCUGGUGUUGCUGCUCCUGCGUAUGAUGUUACUGUUGUUCGCGCUGCACUGGAAGAAACUAUGGAACAACAAGCUAUGCUGGAGGCGCCACCUCGCCAUCCGCUGCAGCAAGGCCUAAGCAAAGCGAAGACGCGUCGUUGGACUUGGACUGAUGCCGACUGACUGAGAUCCAAGUCCAAGGUAGUCCUUAAAGCUGGGCCAGGACGUGCUCAGAGAGCUUUCGAUUUGACAAAAGCUUUUCGGCAUCCCCUAUGCUCCGCUCCGAUCCAAAGGAGUUGGAGCAGUAGGUAAGAGCACAGCAGAGCAGACAGGGCGCAUACGCAACAUUCGAAAUGCGUGAAAACAGUCUCACCAUCUCGCUUGCACCCCUAGAGCUUGGAAAUAGAAAGGAGUGCGCGUCUUGCGCUCCUCUCUACACUUCUUGGUUUACACGUUUACUUUUAUAAUCUUUCGAUAAGACAAUCAAAAUAAUAAAAAGUGCGAGAGCGCUGUAAUGAAGACUUC